UGGCACCUUGAUGUCGGCUCAUCACAUCCUGGGGCUGUAGCCGGUCCCAAGGGUUUGGCUGUUCGCCAAUUAAAGUGGUACGUGAGCUGGGUUUAGAACGUCGUGAGACAGUUCGGUCCCUAUCUGCCGUGGGCGUCGGAAGUUUGAGAAGAGCUGCUCCUAGUACGAGAGGACCGGAGUGGACGAACCUCUGGUGUUCGGGUUGUCAUGCCAAUGGCAUUGCCCGGUAGCUACGUUCGGACGGGAUAACCGCUGAAAGCAUCUAAGCGGGAAGCCUACCUCAAGAUAAGAUUUCCCCAGGA
This 302-nucleotide ribosomal RNA is filed under the name Prymnesium parvum. RNAcentral describes it as "partial Bacterial large subunit ribosomal RNA". It matches the Rfam family "Bacterial large subunit ribosomal RNA", at positions 2519 to 2820 of the family's 2925-position model. The record is from RNAcentral. Lineage: Eukaryota; Haptophyta; Prymnesiales; Prymnesiaceae.